RNAcentral lists this unclassified non-coding RNA (359 nucleotides) under fungal sp. RNAcentral's name for it is "partial internal transcribed spacer region". The stretch from base 1 to 46 matches the Rfam family "Eukaryotic small subunit ribosomal RNA", at positions 1786 to 1831 of the family's 1831-position model. The record is from RNAcentral. Lineage: Eukaryota; Fungi.
AAGUCGUAACAAGGUUUCCGUAGGUGAACCUGCGGAAGGAUCAUUAUAGAAUAAACUUGGUGGGUUGCUGCUGGCUCCUCUGGGGCACUGUGCACACCCAUCAUCUUUUUCAACUUCUCCACCUGUGCACCCCAUGUAGACCCCCUUUCCUGGCUAUCAAAAGGGAGUAAUGUCCCAUUUUUGGUGUCAAAGGCCUGCUGCUGCAAAACCUGCUCAGCUUGCCUGAUUGAAGACAGGCCAGAGAGGGAUGGGUCUAUGUUUUCACAUAUUACCCCAAAAAAAUCCUAGAACAUAUCCAAGGCCAUAAAAAAGCCUAUAUAAAAAUUAUACAACUUUCAGCAACGGAUCUCUUGGCUCUC